RNAcentral lists this ribosomal RNA (501 nucleotides) under uncultured bacterium. Its description in RNAcentral is "partial 16S ribosomal RNA". It matches the Rfam family "Bacterial small subunit ribosomal RNA", at positions 30 to 523 of the family's 1533-position model. The record is from RNAcentral.
AUUGAACGCUGGCGGCAGGCUUAACACAUGCAAGUCGAGCGGAGCGAGGGUGCUUGCACCUUAGCUUAGCGGCGGACGGGUGAGUAAUGCUUAGGAAUCUGCCUAUUAGUGGGGGACAACAUUCCGAAAGGGAUGCUAAUACCGCAUACGCCCUACGGGGGAAAGCAGGGGAUCUUCGGACCUUGCGCUAAUAGAUGAGCCUAAGUCGGAUUAGCUAGUUGGUGGGGUAAAGGCCUACCAAGGCGACGAUCUGUAGCGGGUCUGAGAGGAUGAUCCGCCACACUGGGACUGAGACACGGCCCAGACUCCUACGGGAGGCAGCAGUGGGGAAUAUUGGACAAUGGGCGGAAGCCUGAUCCAGCCAUGCCGCGUGUGUGAAGAAGGCCUUUUGGUUGUAAAGCACUUUAAGCGAGGAGGAGGCUACCAGUAUUAAUACUACUGGAUAGUGGACGUUACUCGCAGAAUAAGCACCGGCUAACUCCGUGCCAGCAGCCGCAGUAA